This 252-nucleotide ribosomal RNA is filed under the name uncultured bacterium. Its description in RNAcentral is "partial 16S ribosomal RNA". It matches the Rfam family "Bacterial small subunit ribosomal RNA", at positions 524 to 776 of the family's 1533-position model. The record is from RNAcentral.
UACGGAGGAUGCGAGCGUUAUCCGGAUUUAUUGGGUUUAAAGGGUGCGUAGGCGGGCUUUUAAGUCAGCGGUAAAAAUUCGGGGCUCAACCACGUCCGGCCGUUGAAACUGGGGGCCUUGAGUGGGCGAGAAGAAGGCGGAAUGCGUGGUGUAGCGGUGAAAUGCAUAGAUAUCACGCAGAACCCCGAUUGCGAAGGCAGCCUUCCGGCGCCCUACUGACGCUGAGGCACGAAAGUGCGGGGAUCGAACAGG